CCUACGGGAGGCAGCAGUGAGGAAUAUUGGUCACUGGGCGCGAGCCUGAACCAGCCAAGUCGCGUGAGGGAAGACGGUCCUAUGGAUUGUAAACCUCUUUUGUCGGGGAGCAAAAGACGCCACGCGUGGCGUUCCGAGAGUACCCGAAGAAAAAGCAUCGGCUAACUCCGUGCCCGCAGCCGCGGUAAUACGGAGGAUGCGAUCGUUAUCCGGAUUUAUUGGGUUUAAAGGUUGCGCAGGCGGAAGAUAAAGUCAGCGGUAAAAGUGAGAGGCUCAACCUCUUCGAGCCGUUGAAACUGGUUUGAUUGAGUGAGUGAGAAGUAUGCGGAAUGCGGGGUGUAGC
Molecule: ribosomal RNA, 343 nt
Filed under: uncultured bacterium
Lineage: Bacteria
Description: partial 16S ribosomal RNA
Rfam family: Bacterial small subunit ribosomal RNA
Source: RNAcentral